GGUAAAUAGCUAAAUAAAGUAUAUUAGUUACAUUAAUAUGAUAUCUAUUAAGAUUUUACUUUU
Molecule: transfer RNA, 63 nt
Filed under: Cacopsylla pyri (pear psyllid)
Lineage: Eukaryota; Metazoa; Arthropoda; Insecta; Hemiptera; Psyllidae
Description: tRNA-Val
Source: RNAcentral